Molecule: ribosomal RNA, 253 nt
Filed under: uncultured bacterium
Lineage: Bacteria
Description: partial 16S ribosomal RNA
Rfam family: Bacterial small subunit ribosomal RNA
Source: RNAcentral
UACGUAGGGAGCAAGCGUUGUCCGGAAUCAUUGGGCGUAAAGCGCGCGUAGGUGGCUUCGUAAGUCCGUUGUGAAAGUCAAAGGCUCAACCUUUAAAAGCCGAUGGAUACUGUGAAGCUAGAGUACGGAAGAGGCGAGUGGAAUUCCUGGUGUAGCGGUGGGAUGCGCAGAUAUCAGGAGGAACACCAAUAGCGAAGGCAGCUCGCUGGGACGUUACUGACACUGAGGCGCGAAAGCGUGGGGAGCGAACAGG